RNAcentral lists this ribosomal RNA (495 nucleotides) under uncultured bacterium. Its description in RNAcentral is "partial 16S ribosomal RNA". It matches the Rfam family "Bacterial small subunit ribosomal RNA", at positions 29 to 507 of the family's 1533-position model. The record is from RNAcentral.
AUGAACGCUGGCGGCGUGCCUAAUACAUGCAAGUCGAGCGAACAGACGAGGAGCUUGCUCCUCUGACGUUAGCGGCGGACGGGUGAGUAACACGUGGAUAACCUACCUAUAAGACUGGGAUAACUUCGGGAAACCGGAGCUAAUACCGGAUAAUAUAUUGAACCGCAUGGUUCAAUAGUGAAAGACGGUUUUGCUGUCACUUAUAGAUGGAUCCGCGCCGCAUUAGCUAGUUGGUAAGGUAACGGCUUACCAAGGCGACGAUGCGUAGCCGACCUGAGGGGGUGAUCGGCCACACUGGAACUGAGACACGGUCCAGACUCCUACGGGAGGCAGCAGUAGGGAAUCUUCCGCAAUGGGCGAAAGCCUGACGGAGCAACGCCGCGUGAGUGAUGAAGGUCUUCGGAUCGUAAAACUCUGUUAUUGGGAAGAACAAAUGUGUAAGUAACUAUGCACGUCUUGACGGUACCUAAUCAGAAAGCCACGGCUAACUACGUG